ACACGACUCUCGGCAACGGAUAUCUCGGCUCUCGCAUCGAUGAAGAACGUAGCGAAAUGCGAUACCUGGUGUGAAUUGCAGAAUCCCGCGGACCAUCGAGUCUUUGAACGCAAGUUGCGCCCGAGGCCAUUCGGCCGAGGGCACGCCUGCCUGGGCGUCACG
This 162-nucleotide ribosomal RNA is filed under the name x Agropogon lutosus. RNAcentral describes it as "5.8S ribosomal RNA". It matches the Rfam family "5.8S ribosomal RNA". Rfam says of the family: 5.8S ribosomal RNA (5.8S rRNA) is a component of the large subunit of the eukaryotic ribosome. It is transcribed by RNA polymerase I as part of the 45S precursor that also contains 18S and 28S rRNA. The record is from RNAcentral. Lineage: Eukaryota; Viridiplantae; Streptophyta; Magnoliopsida; Poales; Poaceae.